RNAcentral lists this unclassified non-coding RNA (235 nucleotides) under Hevea brasiliensis (rubber tree). The record is from RNAcentral. Lineage: Eukaryota; Viridiplantae; Streptophyta; Magnoliopsida; Malpighiales; Euphorbiaceae.
UCAUGAAGCUCCUUGAAGAAGACGAGGAUGAAACAAUGCAUUCGGGGGCGGAUGUGGAGGCAUUCACUGCUGCCCUAAACAGGGAUAUCGGUGGAGAUAAUUCACAAUCUCAGCCUUCGGAUUCCGAUAGCGUGCCAUUGUCUCAAGGAAGCAGUUAUACCUCAAAUCAGUUUGCCCCAUGGCAAACUGCUAACCAUGACGAAAAUGCCAGUCGUUGUAACCUUCAAGAUUCAGA